UAUACCUUAAGGAAACUUUGGAUAGAUCGCAACUGCAAGGUGUGGCGCAUGUGCAUGUAGGUAUAGGUCUCAAAGACUCUAGUUCUUCCCACAUGAUUUUUAGAUCGGUAAAAAAUUGACUCACCCCCCUUUCACCUUGUCUGAUUGAGUGUAUAUCUUGCAACAAGUCAGAGAUCUUGAAGUAAUCUCCCUUGGAAAACCUCUCUUUUAGCUCCUCCCACAAAUCUUUAGCUUCUUCAACGUAAAUCACACUUUCAGCAAUGUGUGGUGAUAGUGUCUUCGUUAUCCAUGAUAAAAUCAUCAUGUUGCACCUCUCC
RNAcentral lists this long non-coding RNA (317 nucleotides) under Vigna radiata. RNAcentral's name for it is "long non-coding RNA (VRAD_LNC004594)". The record is from RNAcentral. Lineage: Eukaryota; Viridiplantae; Streptophyta; Magnoliopsida; Fabales; Fabaceae.